Molecule: ribosomal RNA, 1314 nt
Filed under: metagenome
Description: bacterial SSU rRNA
Rfam family: Bacterial small subunit ribosomal RNA
Source: RNAcentral
CUGCUAAUACCGCAUAAGCCCACGGCUCGGCAUCGAGCAGAGGGGAAAGGAGCAAUCCGCUUUGAGAUGGCCUCGCGUCCGAUUAGCUAGUUGGUGAGGUAACGGCCCACCAAGGCGACGAUCGGUAGCCGGACUGAGAGGUUGAACGGCCACAUUGGGACUGAGACACGGCCCAGACUCCUACGGGAGGCAGCAGUGGGGAAUAUUGCACAAUGGGGGAAACCCUGAUGCAGCGACGCCGCGUGGAGGAAGAAGGUCUUCGGAUUGUAAACUCCUGUUGUUGAGGAAGAUAAUGACGGUACUCAACAAGGAAGUGACGGCUAACUACGUGCCAGCAGCCGCGGUAAAACGUAGGUCACAAGCGUUGUCCGGAAUUACUGGGUGUAAAGGGAGCGCAGGCGGGAAGACAAGUUGGAAGUGAAAUCCAUGGGCUUAACCCAUGAACUGCUUUCAAAACUGUUUUUCUUGAGUAGUGCAGAGGUAGGCGGAAUUCCCGGUGUAGCGGUGGAAUGCGUAGAUAUCGGGAGGAACACCAGUGGCGAAGGCGGCCUACUGGGCACCAACUGACGCUGAGGCUCGAAAGUGUGGGUAGCAAACAGGAUUAGAUACCCUGGUAGUCCACACUGUAAACGAUGAUUACUAGGUGUUGGAGGAUUGACCCCUUCAGUGCCGCAGUUAACACAAUAAGUAAUCCACCUGGGGAGUACGACCGCAAGGUUGAAACUCAAAGGAAUUGACGGGGGCCCGCACAAGCAGUGGAGUAUGUGGUUUAAUUCGACGCAACGCGAAGAACCUUACCAAGUCUUGACAUCCUGCGACGCACAUAGAAAUAUGUGUUUCCUUCGGGACGCAGAGACAGGUGGUGCAUGGUUGUCGUCAGCUCGUGUCGUGAGAUGUUGGGUUAAGUCCCGCAACGAGCGCAACCCUUAUGGUCAGUUACUACGCAAGAGGACUCUGGCCAGACUGCCGUUGACAAAACGGAGGAAGGUGGGGAUGACGUCAAAUCAUCAUGCCCUUUAUGACUUGGGCUACACACGUACUACAAUGGCGUUAAACAAAGAGAAGCAAGACCGCGAGGUGGAGCAAAACUCAGAAACAACGUCCCAGUUCGGACUGCAGGCUGCAACUCGCCUGCACGAAGUCGGAAUUGCUAGUAAUCGCAGAUCAGCAUGCUGCGGUGAAUACGUUCCCGGGCCUUGUACACACCGCCCGUCACACCAUGAGAGCCGGGGGGACCCGAAGUCGGUAGUCUAACCGCAAGGAGGACGCCGCCGAAGGUAAAACUGGUGAUUGGGGUGAAGUCGAAACAAGGUA